CCUACGGGUGGCUGCAGUGGGGGAUAUUGCACAAUGGGGGAAACCCUGAUGCAGCGACGCCGCGUGUGGGAAGACGGUCCUCUGGAUUGUAAACCACUGUCCCCAGGGACGAAGGUGACGGUACCUGGGGAGGAAGCUCCGGCUAACUACGUGCCAGCAGCCUCGGUAAUACGUAGGUAGCGAGCGUUGUCCGGUUUUACUGGGUGUAAAGGGAGCGUAGGCGGGACUGCAAGUUGGGUGUAAAAUCUACCGGCUCAACCGGUAUCAGCCCGCAACACUGCAGUUCUUGAGUGAAGUAGAGGCAGGCGGAAUUCCUAGUGUAGCGGUGCAAUGCGUAGAUAUUAGGAGGAACACCAGUGGCGAAGGCGGCCUGCUGGGCUUUUACUGACGCUGAGGCUCGAAAGUGUGGGGAGCAAACAGGAUUAGAUACCCGAGUAGUC
RNAcentral lists this ribosomal RNA (440 nucleotides) under uncultured bacterium. RNAcentral describes it as "partial 16S ribosomal RNA". It matches the Rfam family "Bacterial small subunit ribosomal RNA", at positions 338 to 795 of the family's 1533-position model. The record is from RNAcentral.